GGGAAGUUGACUCAGUGGUAGAGUGCUUGCCUCGCAUGCAUGAGGCCCUGGGUUCGAUUCCUCAGUACCA
Molecule: transfer RNA, 70 nt
Filed under: Dipodomys ordii (Ord's kangaroo rat)
Lineage: Eukaryota; Metazoa; Chordata; Mammalia; Rodentia; Heteromyidae
Rfam family: tRNA
About the family: Transfer RNA (tRNA) molecules are approximately 80 nucleotides in length.
Source: Rfam by way of RNAcentral